Molecule: ribosomal RNA, 432 nt
Filed under: uncultured bacterium
Lineage: Bacteria
Description: partial 16S ribosomal RNA
Rfam family: Bacterial small subunit ribosomal RNA
Source: RNAcentral
ACGCACGCUGGCGGCCUGCCUAACCCCUGCACGUCGAACGAUCCCUUCGGGGAUAGUGGCGCACGGGUGCGUAACGCGUGGGAACCUGCCCUUAGGUUCGGAAUAACUCGGAGAAAUUUGAGCUAAUACCGGAUAAUGUCUUCGGACCAAAGAUUUAUCGCCUUUGGAUGGGCCCGCGUUGGAUUAGCUAGUUGGUGGGGUAAAGGCCUACCAAGGCGACGAUCCAUAGCUGGUCUGAGAGGAUGAUCAGCCACACUGGGACUGAGACACGGCCCAGACUCCUACGGGAGGCAGCAGUGGGGAAUAUUGGACAAUGGGCGAAAGCCUGAUCCAGCAAUGCCGCGUGAGUGAUGAAGGCCUUAGGGUUGUAAAGCUCUUUUACCCGGGAUGAUAAUGACAGUACCGGGAGAAUAAGCCCCGGCUAACUCCGUG